GCGGCAGUAGCUCAGUGGUAGAGCCCCCGCCCUGAAUGCGGGGAGACCUGGGUUCGAUUCCUGGCUGCUUCC
Molecule: transfer RNA, 72 nt
Filed under: Toxocara canis (dog roundworm)
Lineage: Eukaryota; Metazoa; Nematoda; Chromadorea; Rhabditida; Toxocaridae
Rfam family: tRNA
About the family: Transfer RNA (tRNA) molecules are approximately 80 nucleotides in length. Their secondary structure includes four short double-helical elements and three loops (D, anti-codon, and T loops). Further hydrogen bonds mediate the characteristic L-shaped molecular structure. tRNAs have two regions of fundamental functional importance: the anti-codon, which is responsible for specific mRNA codon recognition, and the 3' end, to which the tRNAs corresponding amino acid is attached (by aminoacyl-tRNA synthetases). tRNAs cope with the degeneracy of the genetic code in two manners: having more than one tRNA (with a specific anti-codon) for a particular amino acid; and 'wobble' base-pairing, i.e. permitting non-standard base-pairing at the 3rd anti-codon position.
Source: Rfam by way of RNAcentral